This is a long non-coding RNA of Coturnix japonica (Japanese quail), 714 nucleotides long. RefSeq lists it as uncharacterized. Lineage: Eukaryota; Metazoa; Chordata; Aves; Galliformes; Phasianidae. The record is from RefSeq and is a predicted model, not a curated record.
AAUAGAAGGAGGAGAGGUUUGGGAGAAGGGAAGAAAGAAAAGCAAGAAAAAAGAGGGAAAGGAAGAAAGAGGGAAAGCCACACGCACACUCUCCAUCCUGAAAAGGGUUAAUUCAGCUCCUCGUGAAAAUGUGCCCAGCAUAUAAUGGGAUUGUCUCGGCCGGCCCCCGCACCUCCCGUCCUGCAGCCCGCCGCCCAGAAGCCAUCCGGGGACAGCGCGGGUUCGUGGGGCGGUGCGGAGCGGAGCGGUGCGGAGCGGGGCCCGGCUCCCCCCGCCGCGGGCUCCAGCACCGACUCGGGGCGGCGACCGCAGUCCAGGCGCGGGGCGGACGGAACUCAGAAAUGGGUUUUUUAGCCAUUUUACUCCGAGGGUGAGAAAAUGCUCACCUUCAAUUGAGAGGGAAACGCUUUGAUGAGCAGCAGCGGCGGGCACAGCGCCUGGCGAGUUUUAUUUCACGAGCAGAAAGAAAACAGAAGUGAAGUGCUGAGGAGCUGUCGGCCCCGAUCUGUGCGAUUUGCCACCGAGGAGGGUGAAGGCUGCGGAAACUUUUCUGUUCCCGGCCCCGAAAGAACGAAGCGAGAAGCCGUUCACUUUCCCCGCUGAAGCCCAGGGGUCGCCGCCAGCCCAGCUCCCAAUAGCCGUGAAACCGAGCCGCAAUUCGGCAGAAAAGAAAAGAGUUUUUCGGAAAGCAAAAUAAAAUAUAUACACAUAAAA